This 259-nucleotide ribosomal RNA is filed under the name uncultured bacterium. RNAcentral describes it as "partial 16S ribosomal RNA". It matches the Rfam family "Bacterial small subunit ribosomal RNA", at positions 793 to 1055 of the family's 1533-position model. The record is from RNAcentral.
GUCCACGCCCUAAACGAUGUCAACUGGUUGUUGGGUCUUCACUUACUCAGUAACGAAGCUAACGCGUGAAGUUGACCGCCUGGGAGUACGGCCGCAAGGUUGAAACUCAAAGGAAUUGACGGGACCCGCACAAGCGGUGGAUGAUGUGGUUUAAUUCGAUGCAACGCGAAACCUUACCACCUUUGACAUGUACGGAAGUCGCUAGAGAUAGCUUCGUGCUCGAAAGAGAGCCGUAACACAGGUGCUGCAUGGCUGUCGU